RNAcentral lists this long non-coding RNA (1025 nucleotides) under Olea europaea subsp. europaea. Lineage: Eukaryota; Viridiplantae; Streptophyta; Magnoliopsida; Lamiales; Oleaceae. The record is from RNAcentral.
AACACUUCAAAAAUAGGCAAAUAGCUCCUAAAUUUCUAGCACAAAUAAUAUUACCCCCUCACGGUAACCAAAAACCUAAUGCCACCCCACACGAUGACAAGCUAAUGUUGAAAUUUAAAUUGGGAUAAGCCUAUAUAUUAGAGCAGACCAAUCUGAGUCCGUAAAUUUUGAGAGAAGCGAAUUUAUCACUUUAGGACCAUCACUAUUCGUCUUAAAGUCUCUAGUAACUGCAGCAACCAACAAAUCACGAUCGAAUCUUGGUUGUCCAAAGAGCAACUUUGCCCAGAUUCUACUGCACAACCUGAAACAAAAAACUUUCAACACAGAAAUGUCAGAAAAUAUCACUAGGAACAAACUCCCUGAAGAGAUCGUUAUCCGAAAACUAGCUACGUACCCUCACAUACGGCUACUUUUCCUAUGCGUGGUCCUCAUGCGCCGGUCAUCCUAGAUUGCCACCACCUGUACGUCACACUAGUGGUCUGCAUUUUUCAAAACUCCUUCUGGAUUGGUCAGAAAACACGAAACAUCUCACGAUUUUUGACAGUUUUCUAGACAAUUUUUCGAUUCGAUUUCUGCUUUGUUUCAGUUGACUUUCUAGACUUUUUUUUGGUAUGUUUCACAAGCCAAAAUCACAAACUUGAAGCUCUUGUACCAGAUGUUACGGAAGCUCUCUCCAAGGAUCUUCAAAUCAGUGGUUUUUCGAACUCAGUCCAAUGUAUCUUUCUCUACCAACAACCAAACCAACCGGCUUCGAUCCACAACUAAUAUAAUUCACCUCGAUUUCUAUUCAAUCUUACCCACAAAGGAUAAGAAACGGUGAUGAUUUGUAGCCACAAAGGUAAGGAGAAAGCAUAAAAAGGUAAGCUAUGAAGGAACCACCAAUUACAUAAAAUAAACGAGCGUUUUGAAUACUUCUAGGGGCUUGUUUCAUACACUUCAAGGGGCAGUCGGGACUCUCCUUUUCUCACACAAAAACCAUACAAAUCAUACUAGAAAUUGGCUAGGGUUUAUUCCUUAUAAAUAUC